This 58-nucleotide transfer RNA is filed under the name Salmo salar (Atlantic salmon). It matches the Rfam family "tRNA", at positions 8 to 63 of the family's 71-position model. From Rfam's summary of the family: Transfer RNA (tRNA) molecules are approximately 80 nucleotides in length. Their secondary structure includes four short double-helical elements and three loops (D, anti-codon, and T loops). Lineage: Eukaryota; Metazoa; Chordata; Actinopteri; Salmoniformes; Salmonidae. The record is from Rfam by way of RNAcentral.
UGGCUCAGUUGGUAGAGCAUGGUGUGUGCAACACUAGGGUUGUGGGUUUGAUUCCCAC